GUUGCUUGUAACUACUUUGAGGCCAUGACGACUUCUAUAUCUUGUAUCUAAUAUUAGUACACGAGACGGCAUCGACCGCAGACGCACACAAACAACACGUAGGUUCUCCCAAAACCGACCUGGGGUCAAACCAAGACUGAAACCUGACCCUCUGACCAUAUUCACUGCCAAAUCGCCAUUUAUAGCGCAAGUAUUACAACACAGCACACAAAUAGAUGCUGACUUAAAUAGACCUGAGAAGAGAUAUUAAAACUGACAAGCAAGAGUCGUCAGCUUGUGUUGUGACCAACUCACCCACAGACGUUCGCCAAUCAGGGAGACUGAAACUGAUGACCCGGAAGUGAUAACAGAUGCGAACAGACGGGUGAGAGGCAGUUUUCCCGCGGGAAUGUCAGACGACAGUUUCCUGGCGGACCGUCGUGACAGAAACCCAGGUGUAGCGACGAAAUCUCUCCGGAAAAUGUGAAUAAAUCUACAAUAUCUGAAACAUCAA
Long non-coding RNA from Branchiostoma floridae (Florida lancelet), 493 nucleotides. RefSeq lists it as uncharacterized. NCBI's taxonomy places the organism in Eukaryota, Metazoa, Chordata, Leptocardii, Amphioxiformes, Branchiostomatidae. The transcript is spliced from 2 exons. The record is from RefSeq and is a predicted model, not a curated record.